RNAcentral lists this ribosomal RNA (446 nucleotides) under uncultured bacterium. RNAcentral's name for it is "bacterial SSU rRNA". It matches the Rfam family "Bacterial small subunit ribosomal RNA", at positions 355 to 796 of the family's 1533-position model. The record is from RNAcentral.
UCGAGAAUUUUUGGCAAUGGGGGAAACCCUGACCAAGCGAUGCCGCGUGCGGGAUGAAGGCCUUCGGGUUGUAAACCGCUGUCAGUGGGGAGAAAAGGACGGGAGGUUCUCCUUCCGUUUUGAUCUAUCCGCAGAGGAAGUGUGGGCUAAGCUCGUGCCAGCAGCCGCGGUAAGACGAGCCACACGAACGUUAUUCGGAAUUACUGGGCUUAAAGGGUGCGUAGGCGGCGCGGAAAGUUGGGUGUGAAAUCCCUCGGCUCAACCGAGGAACUGCGCCCAAAACUACCGUGCUCGAGGAAGAUAGAGGUGAGCGGAACUUACGGUGGAGCGGUGAAAUGCGUUGAUAUCGUAAGGAACACCCGUGGCGAAAGCGGCUCACUGGGUCUUUUCUGACGCUGAUGCACGAAAGCUAGGGGAGCAAACGGGAUUAGAUACCCCGGUAGUCC